This 96-nucleotide small RNA is filed under the name Salmonella enterica subsp. enterica serovar Virchow. Its description in RNAcentral is "partial RtT sRNA". It matches the Rfam family "RtT RNA", at positions 33 to 130 of the family's 130-position model. Rfam says of the family: This family represents a bacterial cis-regulatory element known as RtT RNA. The exact function of RtT is unknown although it is thought that it may be involved in changing the cellular response in relation to amino acid starvation. Lineage: Bacteria; Pseudomonadati; Pseudomonadota; Gammaproteobacteria; Enterobacterales; Enterobacteriaceae. The record is from RNAcentral.
UGCCGCAGGUUCGGGUCUCACGUAGUGAGACAACGGAGCCGCUUGCGGCGACGGCCCGAAGGGCGAGCGAAGCGAGUCAUCCUGCACGACCCACCA